This 326-nucleotide RNase P RNA is filed under the name Flavobacterium segetis. RNAcentral's name for it is "Bacterial RNase P class A". It matches the Rfam family "Bacterial RNase P class A". Rfam says of the family: Ribonuclease P (RNase P) is a ubiquitous endoribonuclease, found in archaea, bacteria and eukarya as well as chloroplasts and mitochondria. Its best characterised activity is the generation of mature 5'-ends of tRNAs by cleaving the 5'-leader elements of precursor-tRNAs. Lineage: Bacteria; Pseudomonadati; Bacteroidota; Flavobacteriia; Flavobacteriales; Flavobacteriaceae. The record is from RNAcentral.
ACAACAGACCGCCUUAUCGACUCAUUUUAAAGAUGAGUAGGAAAGUCCGGACACCAUAGGGAAGCAUAGCGGGUAACACCCGUCGGUUUGUUUUGAAUUUUUCAAAAUAGAUUAGGACAAGUGCAACAGAAAGUAUGUACAGGUAAUGCUGUAGUGAAACCAGGUAAACUCUAUGCGGUGAAAUAUCAAGUAUAUCAGCAUUUAAGAGCGUCUCGUUCGUUGCUGAAGGGUAGAUAGCUUGAGUCAUACAGUAAUGUAUGAUCUAGAUAAAUGAUAAGGCUUCAAUUUAUUGGAGACAGAAUCCGGCUUAUAGGUCUGUAUUUUUU